GAGGAUGGAGAAUCGCACCAAGCCUGGAGGAAGUCUCCAAGGGACCAGCUCUGUUAGCAUUGCACUGUGUUGGGCAGCCUUUGGGACCAGGGCAGGGAAGGAACAAAUAGCACUCUCCUGUGUCAGCAAAAAAGAAGUACUUGUCAUGAGACUGGACCAAGGGGAAAAGACAAAAGGUGAAGAAAAGCCUGAAGUCUGCUUCCACGACUGGCACUGAGGAUGCAGGAGCUGAGCAUCACGCUGCCUCUUCACCAUCCAGAAGCCAAAGCUUCCCAGUCACGUUGGUAACACUGGCUAAGUGUAGGCUUUGUUCUGCAUGCCCAGAUACCUGCUACUUUCAGUGUUUCACACACAGCCUUACAAGCUGAUGUGACUGGAGCAGCAGAGAGGACAGAGCUUCAGGGGGCAGCGCGCUGGAGCAUGGGAACACAUCUGGGUCCCGGUGUGUCUCAGGUGGAUAUUAAUCGUCACCCUUGCUUACAGCAGUCAAGUCAAUAUCCAAACGCAUCCAUAAGGACGUCAGAGACACAUUGAUAACUUUCUUUCUUCAUCUCUGAAAGUCGUGAGACUCUCCAGAGCACUUAUAAAAUUGCAUGUCACUUUCCUAAGCUUAAAAUGAUUUGGAGCAGAAGCCCAUCGCCUCGUUUGUCUCCCCAGCCAGUCAAUAAAUCUGACAGAUGUCCCUGAGUUAUAGCUGGAGUGUUGGAUCUUCAGAGUACAAGCCACUUGCUUCGUUCCUAAGAAGGAACACACGUGCCUCCCAGAAGCCCAGGGUGGGAGAGAUUUCUCUGCGGGUUCUUGGUCACGUGCAAGCCUCGUUCCUUCUGUCAUAAAGCUCGAUUAUGAGGCUGUAAAAGAAGUAGGUGGAGAAUGUUUUUUGCGAGAGCCAACAGCGAGAGGAAGAGCGUCAGCGGAGAGAGGGAAUCGCUCCCCAAGGAGGUGAACCCGGCGUGUGGAAUUGAUGAAGACAGUCGA
This is a long non-coding RNA of Microtus oregoni (creeping vole), 975 nucleotides long. RefSeq lists it as uncharacterized. The transcript has 3 exons. The record is from RefSeq and is a predicted model, not a curated record. NCBI's taxonomy places the organism in Eukaryota, Metazoa, Chordata, Mammalia, Rodentia, Cricetidae.